CCUACGGGAGGCAGCAGUGAGGAAUAUUGGUCAAUGGACGAGAGUCUGAACCAGCCAAGUAGCGUGAAGGAUGACUGCCCUAUGGGUUGUAAACUUCUGUUAUAAAGGAAUAAAACGAGGCACGUGUGCAUUUUUGCAUGUACGGUAUGAAUAAGGAUCGGCUAACUCCGUGCCAGCAGCCGCGGUAAUACGGAGGAUCCGAGCGUUAUCCGGAUUUAUUGGGUUUCCAGGGAGCGUAGAUGGGUUGUUAAGUCAGUUGUGCACGUUUGCGGCUCAACCGUAAAAUUGCAAUUGAUACUGGCAGUCUUGAGUACAGUUGCGGUAGGCGGAAUUCGUGGUGUAGCGGU
This 347-nucleotide ribosomal RNA is filed under the name uncultured bacterium. Its description in RNAcentral is "partial 16S ribosomal RNA". It matches the Rfam family "Bacterial small subunit ribosomal RNA", at positions 338 to 682 of the family's 1533-position model. The record is from RNAcentral.